RNAcentral lists this ribosomal RNA (504 nucleotides) under uncultured fungus. RNAcentral's name for it is "SSU rRNA". It matches the Rfam family "Eukaryotic small subunit ribosomal RNA", at positions 248 to 755 of the family's 1831-position model. Lineage: Eukaryota; Fungi. The record is from RNAcentral.
GAUUCAGGAUAACUAAACGAAUCGCAUGGCCUUGCGCCGGCGAUGGUUCAUUCAAAUUUCUGCCCUAUCAACUUUCGAUGGUAAGGUAGUGGCUUACCAUGGUUUCAACGGGUAACGGGGGAUUAGGGUUCUAUUCCGGAGAGGGAGCCUGAGAAACGGCUACCACAUCCAAGGAAGGCAGCAGGCGCGCAAAUUACCCAAUCCCAAUACGGGGAGGUAGUGACAAUAAAUACUGAUACGGGGCUCUUUCGGGUCUCGUAAUUGGAAUGAGUACAAUCUAAAUCCCUUAACGAGGAACAAUUGGAGGGCAAGUCUGGUGCCAGCAGCCGCGGUAAUUCCAGCUCCAAUAGCGUAUAUUAAAGUUGUUGCCGUUAAAAAGCUCGUAGUUGAACCUUGGACCUGGCUGAUCUGUCCUCCUAAUCGAGCGUACGGAUUCGGUCGGGUCUUUCCUCCUGGGGAACCCUAUGUCCUUCAUUGGGUGUGGUGGGGAACCAGGACUUUUAC